UACGGGAGGCAGCAGUGAGGAAUAUUGGACAAUGGUCGGAAGACUGAUCCAGCCAUGCCGCGUGCAGGAUGAAGGUCUUAUGGAUUGUAAACUGCUUUUGUAAGGGAAGAAUAAGGGCUACGCGUAGUUUGAUGACGGUACCUUAUGAAUAAGCAUCGGCUAACUCCGUGCCAGCAGCCGCGGUAAUACGGAGGAUGCGAGCGUUAUCCGGAAUCAUUGGGUUUAAAGGGUCUGUAGGCGGGCUGGUAAGUCAGAGGUGAAAGCGCUCAGCUCAACUGAGCAACUGCCUUUGAAACUGUUGGUCUUGAAUGGUUGUGAAGUAGUUGGAAUGUGUAGUGUAGCGGUGAAAUGCUUAGAUAUUACACAGAACACCGAUAGCGAAGGCAUAUUACUAACAAUUAAUUGACGCUGAUGGACGAAAGCGUGGGGAGCGAACAGGAUUAGAUACCCUGGUAGUCCACGCUGUAAACGAUGGAUACUAGCUGUUUGGUUUAAGGAUUGAGUGGCUAAGCGAAAGUGAUAAGUAUCCCACCUGGGGAGUACGUUCGCAAGAAUGAAACUCAAAGG
RNAcentral lists this ribosomal RNA (567 nucleotides) under uncultured microorganism. RNAcentral's name for it is "bacterial SSU rRNA". It matches the Rfam family "Bacterial small subunit ribosomal RNA", at positions 340 to 907 of the family's 1533-position model. The record is from RNAcentral.